GGGAUUGUGGCUCAGCGGUAGAGCACUUCCCUAUCAUGGGUGGGACCAAGGUUCAAUCCUCAGCCCCA
This 68-nucleotide transfer RNA is filed under the name Ictidomys tridecemlineatus (thirteen-lined ground squirrel). RNAcentral's name for it is "Spermophilus tridecemlineatus (thirteen-lined ground squirrel) tRNA". It matches the Rfam family "tRNA". Rfam says of the family: Transfer RNA (tRNA) molecules are approximately 80 nucleotides in length. Their secondary structure includes four short double-helical elements and three loops (D, anti-codon, and T loops). Lineage: Eukaryota; Metazoa; Chordata; Mammalia; Rodentia; Sciuridae. The record is from Rfam by way of RNAcentral.